GAUGAACGCUGGCGGCGUGCCUAAUACAUGCAAGUAGAACGCUGAAGGAAGGAGCUUGCUCUUUCCGGGUGAGUUGCGAACGGGUGAGUAACGCGUAGGUAACCUGCCUGGUAGCGGGGGAUAACUAUUGGAAACGAUAGCUAAUACCGCAUAACAGUAGAUGUUGCAUGAUAUCUACUUAAAAGGUGCAAUUGCACCACUACCAGCUGGACCUGCGUUGUAUUAGGUAGUUGGUGAGGUAACGGCUCACCAAGGCGACGAUACAUAGGCGACCUGGGAGGGUGAUCGGCCACACUGGGACUGGGACACGGCCCAGACUCCUACGGGAGGCAGCAGUAGGGAAUCUUCGGCAAUGGACGGAAGUCUGACCGAGCAACGCCGCGGGAGGGAAGAAGGUUUUCGGAUCGUAAAGCUCUGUUGUAAGAGAAGAACGAGUGUGAGAGUGGAAAGUUCACACUGUGACGGUAUCUGACCAGAAAGGGACGGCUAACUACGUG
This 497-nucleotide ribosomal RNA is filed under the name uncultured bacterium. Its description in RNAcentral is "partial 16S ribosomal RNA". It matches the Rfam family "Bacterial small subunit ribosomal RNA", at positions 28 to 507 of the family's 1533-position model. The record is from RNAcentral.